Molecule: ribosomal RNA, 253 nt
Filed under: uncultured bacterium
Lineage: Bacteria
Description: partial 16S ribosomal RNA
Rfam family: Bacterial small subunit ribosomal RNA
Source: RNAcentral
UACGGAGGGUGCGAGCGUUAAUCGGAAUUACUGGGCGUAAAGCGCACGCAGGCGGUUUGUUAAGCUAGAUGUGAAAGCCCCGAGCUCAACUUGGGAUGGUCAUUUAGAACUGGCAGACUAGAGUCUUGGAGAGGGGAGUGGAAUUCCAGGUGUAGCGGUGAAAUGCGUAGAUAUCUGGAGGAACAUCAGUGGCGAAGGCGACUCCCUGGCCAAAGACUGACGCUCAUGUGCGAAAGUGUGGGUAGCGAACAGG